This is a small nucleolar RNA of Panicum virgatum (switchgrass), 108 nucleotides long. The record is from RefSeq and is a predicted model, not a curated record. Lineage: Eukaryota; Viridiplantae; Streptophyta; Magnoliopsida; Poales; Poaceae.
AUUCCAUGAUGCGGACACACAAGGAUGUACUCCUGAAGUCUCUCCCAAGCAUCAAGGAACUGACUCAUUUGAUGCCUGCUGGAAACUCAAAAUCCUCCUACGAAGAGC